RNAcentral lists this ribosomal RNA (265 nucleotides) under uncultured Synergistaceae bacterium. Its description in RNAcentral is "partial 16S ribosomal RNA". It matches the Rfam family "Bacterial small subunit ribosomal RNA", at positions 1122 to 1382 of the family's 1533-position model. The record is from RNAcentral. Lineage: Bacteria; Thermotogati; Synergistota; Synergistia; Synergistales; Synergistaceae.
CAGGAGAGCUGAGCACUCUGGCGAGACUGCCGCCGGACAAGGCGGAGGAAGGUGGGGAGUGACGUCAAGUCAUCAUGGCCUUUAUGCCCAGGGCUACACACGUGCUACAAUGGCCGGCACAGACGGCAGCUUAGUGGCGACACUUGGCAAAUACCUCUAAAGCCGGUCCCAGUUCGGAUUGCAGUCUGCAACUCGACUGCAUGAAACCGGAAUCGCUAGUAAUCGCAGAUCAGCCAAGCUGCGGUGAAUACGUUCCCGGGCCCUU